ACGACUCUCGGCAACGGAUAUCUCGGCUCUCGCAUCGAUGAAGAACGUAGCGAAAUGCGAUACCUGGUGUGAAUUGCAGAAUCCCGCGAACCAUCGAGUCUUUGAACGCAGGUUGCGCCCGAGGCCACUCGGCCGAGGGCACGCCUGCCUGGGCGUCACGC
This 161-nucleotide ribosomal RNA is filed under the name Hordeum patagonicum subsp. magellanicum. Its description in RNAcentral is "5.8S ribosomal RNA". It matches the Rfam family "5.8S ribosomal RNA". Rfam says of the family: 5.8S ribosomal RNA (5.8S rRNA) is a component of the large subunit of the eukaryotic ribosome. It is transcribed by RNA polymerase I as part of the 45S precursor that also contains 18S and 28S rRNA. Functionally, it is thought that 5.8S rRNA may be involved in ribosome translocation. Lineage: Eukaryota; Viridiplantae; Streptophyta; Magnoliopsida; Poales; Poaceae. The record is from RNAcentral.